This 449-nucleotide ribosomal RNA is filed under the name uncultured bacterium. RNAcentral's name for it is "partial 16S ribosomal RNA". It matches the Rfam family "Bacterial small subunit ribosomal RNA", at positions 29 to 523 of the family's 1533-position model. The record is from RNAcentral.
AAUGAACGCUGGCGGCAUUCCUAACACAUGCAAGUCGAACGAAGGCUUCGGCCUUAGUGGCGCACGGGUGCGUAACGCGUGGGAAUCUGCCCUCAGGUUCGGAAUAACAGCGAGAAAUUGCUGCUAAUACCGGAUGAUAUCGCGAGAUCAAAGAUUUAUCGCCUGAGGAUGAGCCCGCGUAGGAGUAGCUAGUUUGUGUGGUAAAGGCGCACCAAGGCGACGAUCCUUAGCUGGUCUGAGAGGAUGAUCAGCCACACUGGGACUGAGACACGGCCCAGACUCCUACGGGAGGCAGCAGUGGGGAAUAUUGGACAAUGGGCGAAAGCCUGAUCCAGCAAUGCCGCGUGAGUGAUGAAGGCAUUAGGGUUGUAAAGCUCUUUUACCCGGGAUGAUAAUGACAGUACCGGGAGAAUAAGCUCCGGCUAACUCCGUGCCAGCCGCCGCCGUAA